Molecule: ribosomal RNA, 633 nt
Filed under: Triticum aestivum (bread wheat)
Lineage: Eukaryota; Viridiplantae; Streptophyta; Magnoliopsida; Poales; Poaceae
Description: partial small subunit ribosomal RNA
Source: RNAcentral
AUGGUCAAAGGCUCGGAGUCGGAUAUCGCCAACCUUAAGUUCCUCCUCCUCUGCUUCCAACAAAUGGCUAGCCUUAAGAUAAACUUCGACAAGAGUGAUGUGAUGGUGAUGGGCUACUCUCGGGCCAAGUCGCUUGCCAUUGCCAACCGGCUUAACUGCCGCCUCGGCGCCUUUCCCACAACUUACCUGGGAACGCCCAUUAGCGACUCUCGGCUCACCGUCACGGACCUGCGCCCGACCGUGACCAAGCUCCAAACGUGCAUCGAACCUUGGCAGGGUAGAUGGUUGUCAAAGGCGGCUCGGACCAUUCUCAUUAACUCAUCCUUCUCCAGCCUCCUCCUGUUCCUCAUGAGCUUCUACAGCCUCCACGAGACCCUGCACCAUGAGAUCGCCAAAAUUCAGUCCCGCUUUUACUGGGCCGGCGACAAUAAUAAGCAGAAAUACCAUAUGGUUAGCUGGCCUGACAUCUGCAAGCCUAGGGAUCAAGGAGGCCUCGGGAUCAUGUGCUCCAAACGCAUGAAUAUCGCCCUCCUACCCCGUUGGCUCUGGUGGACCUCGCAGGGCCAGGGGAGUCUCUGGCUUGACAUCAUUCGGAACAAAUAUCUGAGAGGCCAACCCCUCGCCUUUUGUUAG